UUACGGUCAAAUCACGCUGAAAACACCGGUUCUCCUUCGAUCACCGAAGUUAAGCAUCGUAGAGCCAGGUCAGUACUUAGAUGGCGGACCGCUUGGGAACACCUGGUACUGUAAG
Molecule: ribosomal RNA, 115 nt
Filed under: Acanthosepion pharaonis
Lineage: Eukaryota; Metazoa; Mollusca; Cephalopoda; Sepiida; Sepiidae
Source: RNAcentral